This 1928-nucleotide ribosomal RNA is filed under the name Escherichia coli. Its description in RNAcentral is "bacterial LSU rRNA". It matches the Rfam family "Bacterial large subunit ribosomal RNA", at positions 312 to 2228 of the family's 2925-position model. Lineage: Bacteria; Pseudomonadati; Pseudomonadota; Gammaproteobacteria; Enterobacterales; Enterobacteriaceae. The record is from RNAcentral.
CUGAAUCAGUGUGUGUGUUAGUGGAAGCGUCUGGAAAGGCGUGCGAUACAGGGUGACAGCCCCGUACACAAAAAUGCACAUAUUGUGAGCUCGAUGAGUAGGGCGGGACACGUGGUAUCCUGUCUGAAUAUGGGGGGACCAUCCUCCAAGGCUAAAUACUCCUGACUGACCGAUAGUGAACCAGUACCGUGAGGGAAAGGCGAAAAGAACCCCGGCGAGGGGAGUGAAAAAGAACCUGAAACCGUGUACGUACAAGCAGUGGGAGCACUCUUAUGGGUGUGACUGCGUACCUUUUGUAUAAUGGGUCAGCGACUUAUAUUCUGUAGCAAGGUUAACCGAAUAGGGGAGCCGAAGGGAAACCGAGUCUUAACUGGGCGUUAAGUUGCAGGGUAUAGACCCGAAACCCGGUGAUCUAGCCAUGGGCAGGUUGAAGGUUGGGUAACACUAACUGGAGGACCGAACCGACUAAUGUUGAAAAAUUAGCGGAUGACUUGUGGCUGGGGGUGAAAGGCCAAUCAAACCGGGAGAUAGCUGGUUCUCCCCGAAAGCUAUUUAGGUAGCGCCUCGUGAAUUCAUCUCCGGGGGUAGAGCACUGUUUCGGCAAGGGGGUCAUCCCGACUUACCAACCCGAUGCAAACUGCGAAUACCGGAGAAUGUUAUCACGGGAGACACACGGCGGGUGCUAACGUCCGUCGUGAAGAGGGAAACAACCCAGACCGCCAGCUAAGGUCCCAAAGUCAUGGUUAAGUGGGAAACGAUGUGGGAAGGCCCAGACAGCCAGGAUGUUGGCUUAGAAGCAGCCAUCAUUUAAAGAAAGCGUAAUAGCUCACUGGUCGAGUCGGCCUGCGCGGAAGAUGUAACGGGGCUAAACCAUGCACCGAAGCUGCGGCAGCGACGCUUAUGCGUUGUUGGGUAGGGGAGCGUUCUGUAAGCCUGUGAAGGUGUGCUGUGAGGCAUGCUGGAGGUAUCAGAAGUGCGAAUGCUGACAUAAGUAACGAUAAAGCGGGUGAAAAGCCCGCUCGCCGGAAGACCAAGGGUUCCUGUCCAACGUUAAUCGGGGCAGGGUGAGUCGACCCCUAAGGCGAGGCCGAAAGGCGUAGUCGAUGGGAAACAGGUUAAUAUUCCUGUACUUGGUGUUACUGCGAAGGGGGGACGGAGAAGGCUAUGUUGGCCGGGCGACGGUUGUCCCGGUUUAAGCGUGUAGGCUGGUUUUCCAGGCAAAUCCGGAAAAUCAAGGCUGAGGCGUGAUGACGAGGCACUACGGUGCUGAAGCAACAAAUGCCCUGCUUCCAGGAAAAGCCUCUAAGCAUCAGGUAACAUCAAAUCGUACCCCAAACCGACACAGGUGGUCAGGUAGAGAAUACCAAGGCGCUUGAGAGAACUCGGGUGAAGGAACUAGGCAAAAUGGUGCCGUAACUUCGGGAGAAGGCACGCUGAUAUGUAGGUGAAGUCCCUUGCGGAUGGAGCUGAAAUCAGUCGAAGAUACCAGCUGGCUGCAACUGUUUAUUAAAAACACAGCACUGUGCAAACACGAAAGUGGACGUAUACGGUGUGACGCCUGCCCGGUGCCGGAAGGUUAAUUGAUGGGGUCAGCGCAAGCGAAGCUCUUGAUCGAAGCCCCGGUAAACGGCGGCCGUAACUAUAACGGUCCUAAGGUAGCGAAAUUCCUUGUCGGGUAAGUUCCGACCUGCACGAAUGGCGUAAUGAUGGCCAGGCUGUCUCCACCCGAGACUCAGUGAAAUUGAACUCGCUGUGAAGAUGCAGUGUACCCGCGGCAAGACGGAAAGACCCCGUGAACCUUUACUAUAGCUUGACACUGAACAUUGAGCCUUGAUGUGUAGGAUAGGUGGGAGGCUUUGAAGUGUGGACGCCAGUCUGCAUGGAGCCGACCUUGAAAUACCACCCUUUAAUGUUUGAUGUUCUAACGU